GCCCGGCUAGCUCAGUUGGUAGAGCAUUCGACUCUUAUACAAGGUUUUCGACCUCCUCCCAGGUUGCCAUCGAAUUGUCGUGGGUUCGAGCCCCACGUUGGGCG
Puccinia graminis f. sp. tritici is the source of this 104-nucleotide transfer RNA. It matches the Rfam family "tRNA". Rfam says of the family: Transfer RNA (tRNA) molecules are approximately 80 nucleotides in length. Their secondary structure includes four short double-helical elements and three loops (D, anti-codon, and T loops). Lineage: Eukaryota; Fungi; Basidiomycota; Pucciniomycetes; Pucciniales; Pucciniaceae. The record is from Rfam.